CCUACGGGAGGCAGCAGUAGGGAAUAUUGCUCAAUGGGCGGAAGCCUGAAGCAGCAACGCCGCGUGGAGGAUGAAGGUCUUAGGAUUGUAAACCCGCUUUGUGACAGAAGGUAAUGACGCUAUCUCACGAAUAAGCACCGGCCAAAUCCGUGCCAGCAGCCGCGGUAAUACGGCGGGUGCAAGCGUUACUCGGAAUGACUGGGCGUAAAGGGUGCGCAGGCGGGGUUGUAAGUCAGAUGUGAAAACCUGGAGCUUAACCACAGAACUGCAUUUGAAACUUCGAGUCUAGAGUGGAGAAGAGGAAGGCGGAAUUCGUGGUGUAGCGGUAAAAUCCGUAGAUAUCAAGAGGAAUACUCAUUGCGAAGGCGGCCUGCUGGAACAUUACUGACGCUCAGGCUCGAAGGCGUGGGGAGCAAACAGGAUUAGAUACCCGAGUAGUC
RNAcentral lists this ribosomal RNA (440 nucleotides) under uncultured bacterium. RNAcentral's name for it is "partial 16S ribosomal RNA". It matches the Rfam family "Bacterial small subunit ribosomal RNA", at positions 338 to 795 of the family's 1533-position model. The record is from RNAcentral.